This 494-nucleotide ribosomal RNA is filed under the name uncultured bacterium. RNAcentral describes it as "bacterial SSU rRNA". It matches the Rfam family "Bacterial small subunit ribosomal RNA", at positions 56 to 560 of the family's 1533-position model. The record is from RNAcentral.
UGCAAGUCGAACGCUCACACGGGUUUCGGCCCGUGCGGGAGUGGCGCACGGGUGAGUAGCGCGUGGGAACCUGCCUUUCAGUGGGGGAUAACCGAGGGAAACUUCGGCUAAUACCGCAUGCGCCCCCGGGCCUGGUCUUCGGAUCAGGUUUGGGGGGAAAGAUUUAUCGCUGAGAGAGGGGCCCGCGUCCGAUUAGCUGGUUGGUGGGGUAACGGCCUACCAAGGCUGCGAUCGGUAGCUGGUCUGAGAGGAUGAUCAGCCACACUGGGACUGAGACACGGCCCAGACUCCUACGGGAGGCAGCAGUGGGGAAUAUUGGACAAUGGGCGCAAGCCUGAUCCAGCAAUGCCGCGUGAGUGAUGAAGGCCUUAGGGUUGUAAAGCUCUUUCGCCCGCGACGAUGAUGACGGUAGCGGGAGAAGAAGCCCCGGCUAACUUCGUGCCAGCAGCCGCGGUAAUACGAAGGGGGCGAGCGUUGUUCGGAAUCACUGGGCG